GACAGAGGUCCCAAGCGUUAGGCGGAAUCACUGGGCUUAAAGCGUGUGUAGGCGGACUUCUAAGUACCUUGUGAAAUCCCACGGCUCAACCGUGGAACUGCUUGGUAUACUGGUUGUCUUGGGCCAUCUAGGGGCUAGCGGAACAAACGGUGGAGCGGUGAAAUGCGUAGAUAUCGUUUGGAACGCCAAUGGUGAAAACAGCUAGCUGGGGAUGUGCCGACGCUGGAGACACGAAAAGCGUGGGGAGCAAACAGG
This 255-nucleotide ribosomal RNA is filed under the name uncultured bacterium. Its description in RNAcentral is "partial 16S ribosomal RNA". It matches the Rfam family "Bacterial small subunit ribosomal RNA", at positions 524 to 776 of the family's 1533-position model. The record is from RNAcentral.